This 253-nucleotide ribosomal RNA is filed under the name uncultured bacterium. RNAcentral describes it as "partial 16S ribosomal RNA". It matches the Rfam family "Bacterial small subunit ribosomal RNA", at positions 524 to 776 of the family's 1533-position model. The record is from RNAcentral.
GACGAACCGUGCGAACGUUGUUCGGAAUCACUGGGCUUAAAGGGCGCGUAGGCGGGCCCUCAAGUCCGGGGUGAAAUCCUCCCGCUUAACGGGAGAAGAGCCUCGGAGACUGGGGGCCUCGAGGGAGGUAGGGGCGUGCGGAACUAUGGGUGGAGCGGUGAAAUGCAUUGAUAUCCAUAGGAACUCCGGUGGCGAAGGCGGCACGCUGGACCUCUUCUGACGCUGAGGCGCGAAAGCCAGGGGAGCAAACGGG